UUAAAAUCUGGUACGGAUCCACGUGAGCGGGUCUAAUCUUAUUUUAUUGAUUGACUACGUACCUGGUUCACGGCGGGUGUGACCGGUCAAUAGGGGACGCAUCUGACCCCAUCCUUGGUGUCUCCAUGGGUCUGUGUUUGCCCUACUCUCUAUUUUAAUGAAGACCAAAAACUACUGCCUCUGCUGCCAAGACCAACAGAACACGAGGCCAUAGCAAAAAGCUGGCAAAGAGAUAUCAGAGUACUCGUUUGGCCUGAGGGUAGUAAAUGAGUGGAACGGAUUGCCAGAUUGCAUUGUGUGCCAAAGACACCAACGAUUUUGUAAAAUAUUAACUAAAGAAUAGAGCAGAGCGGGAGUUACAGGCUACGUAGCCUUCUUCCUGUAGAAGAGGUAUCAAGGGAUGUCUUUUGACCAAGGUCAAGAGCAUGCGAUAAAAAAUGAAAAAUACUUUGUAACACAAAAGUUACGCUUGAAUGAUAAGAGAGCUGACAUUGCUUUUGAAGAUAAACUGUUAGGAAAGUAGUAGAAUUUUUUUUAGAGAGUCUGCGAAGGAUAUUCUGUAAUACUUUAUUUAUCACAGUAUCUAUAACUCUAUGAAUACUUUGAAAUUUUACCAAAUGAUUUGCUACAUGCAUUUGCCAUAAAGUAUGUUGGCAGCUAGGAAGUACUGCAGUUCAUACACACGUGCAUUUUAAAAAUGAAAUUUAUUUCUUACAUUUACACUUUACUUUUAUUUCGGUUGGAAUUCCCAGUCGUUUAUAUAGUCGAACUAUAUUUAUCACGAAUUUUUAAAAAAAAUCAAUUUCUUCAAAAUCUCGCCUCGGUUUUAAACACAUUUGAUAUCCUAGUCAAUAGAUCCCAUGAAUACGAGUUACCAGACCUAUACUGGAUUCCAAAUAUCCACAAAAUCCCUUAUAAACAAAGAUUCUUUGCAAGAUCCACUAAAUGCUAUAAACAAAGAUUCUUUGCAAGAUCCACUAAAUGCUCUACAAAGUAAUUAUCUUUGUUCCUCACAAAAACUGCUCUGAAGGAGAAACUCCAAGCGUAUUGUGCCACAACCUAUGCGAGAAGUGGUGUAUGUCAAAUGUGGAUUCUUAAAAAUUCUAAAGAACUUUUAGUAAAUCUGAAAUCAUUUAAUAACUAAAUCACAAAAUUUUCCCCAAAUCAACAACAUCAAAAUGUGUGACAUUUUCAACACUUUACUCGACCAUUCCUCACGAUAAAUCAACGCCUUGAGACAGAGCAUUUUGACAUCAUAUAUAGACAACUGCUUCUUCAAUAAAAAUGGAAGACGGAAUUAUUCAUAUCUUGUGACCAGUCAUCCAAAAAAUUACUUUGUUAAACACCACUAGUUGAUUCUACGUACAAGUACUCUGAAGGUGAUAGUUAAAAAAUGGAGUUCCUCAUUCACAAUAUCUAUGUGGUCUUUGGUGGUCUUCCAAAAGUCUGUUGAAUUUUCCAUGGGCACGAAUUGUGCUCUUUCAUUAGUUGACCUGAUUUUUUUUAUAUUCUUACGAGGCAAAAUUUAUUCAAAAUCUUCUACAUGUGAAGAAAAAAGUAUUUUGCUGUAGCCUUUAACUCGAGAUUUAGAUAUAUUUUGAAAGAUCAAUUUAUUCAGAAGUGGUCUUCUGAUAUUGAUGACUCUUCUAAGGGCCAGGUUUAUAAACUUUUCAAACAUUGUUUUGGUUUAGAGAAAUAUGUACUUACUCUGCCUGUAAAAUUAAGAAAAUUAUUUAUGAAAUUUCACACUUCCAAUCACCGAUUACCCAUAGAGACAGGAAGAUGGCAUGGUAUUCCCCUGAAUAAAAGACUAUGAACAUUUUGUAAUAAAGGAGAAAUAGGAGAUGAAUUCCAUUUUAUUUUACAGUGUCCAACUUUUUCACAAUUAAGGAAAAAAUACAUAGACAAAUUUUUUUAAUGAAAGACCAAAUGUUCUAAGUUUUCUUAUCUAUUGUCAACUCAAGAUAUGAAAAUAUUAAGAAAUCUCUGUGUUUUUAUUUUUGAGAUUGUUGUUCUUCGUAAUUGUUCUUCUGCUACUCCUUAAACGUAUUACUAAAUAUGUUUAUUUAUACAUACAUUGUAUUUCAUGUUUCCCUCUGGUAUUUAAGAAAGCUGUAUUAUUCCAUAUAUCAACCUCUGACGAUUUUCCUUGCAUGUACAUUGCAUUAUAUUUAUUGUACCUCAUGCACCGUUUAACAUGGUUUGAGCGAAAUAAAUUGAAUUGAAUUGAUA
This is a long non-coding RNA of Ostrea edulis (European flat oyster), 2232 nucleotides long. RefSeq lists it as uncharacterized. The record is from RefSeq and is a predicted model, not a curated record. NCBI's taxonomy places the organism in Eukaryota, Metazoa, Mollusca, Bivalvia, Ostreida, Ostreidae. The transcript has 2 exons.